Long non-coding RNA from Haliotis rubra (blacklip abalone), 853 nucleotides. RefSeq lists it as uncharacterized. The record is from RefSeq and is a predicted model, not a curated record. Lineage: Eukaryota; Metazoa; Mollusca; Gastropoda; Lepetellida; Haliotidae. The transcript is spliced from 3 exons.
CAGUAUAUCGCAUGAAGUAUACACUACAUCACAGGUACACAGUAUAUCGCAUGAAGCAUACAGUACAUCACAGGUACACAGUAUAUCACAUGAAGUAUACAUUACAUCACAGAUACACAGUAUAUCGCAUGAAGUAUACAGUGCAUAUUAGGUACACAGUAUAUUGCAUGAAGUAUACAUACAUCACAGGUAUACAGGUAAGCAACCCUGAAUGUGUUGACAGGUAACAGUGCUAUGUUCAGGUUCAACUUGUGUAAGGUUCAGCUUGUGUAAGGUUAUACGUAUGAUCUCAAUGUGUAUCUAUAUUGCUAGUAUGCUUGGAGGAAUGUGUCUCCACAAACAUAAACUGUGUGUCCAAAGGCUAACCCAAGAAUUUUCACAAUUGCGGUUUGUGCACGUGCCACAUGUCGGAAUCUAAUCUGCUUGGGUUACAAUGCUCAAUAAGUUGCCUGUCACUAUGGGAUGUACAAGAUUAUCAGAUGCCCAGAGAUGGCAAAUUAUCGGCACGUCCUUUAAAGCAAUGAAUUUCGACUACACAGGUAUCAGUCGAGUGGUCAGAAAAUUCAGAUAAACCAAUGAGGUGAAGCCAGUUUGGAGACAACGAAAUACAGCAUUACCAUUCAACCAACUGUUGCCUUUGCAGGUUCAGUCAUGGUGCGGGGAAGUGUCUCUUAUGACUGUAAACUUGAUUUGGUCACAAUACGGGGAAUUUGACGGGUGAUCAGAUUGCACUGGACCCUUCAUUUUGAUAAUCAUCCUCUUGUUACAAGAUCUGUAUUUAUGGAUGACAACGCUAGGCCAAACAGUGACAGCUUUCAUUCAGAAUAAUGCAGUGACUCACCUUCCAUUGCCA